Molecule: unclassified non-coding RNA, 278 nt
Filed under: Hevea brasiliensis (rubber tree)
Lineage: Eukaryota; Viridiplantae; Streptophyta; Magnoliopsida; Malpighiales; Euphorbiaceae
Source: RNAcentral
CUGAGUGGGUGAUGAAUACCCUACCUAUACAUACAUUACACCAUUUGUUUAGCAAUUCAUCCUCAGCACAGUUAUCCAAUACCAUCUGGGAACCUCAUUAGGCCUAGUAAGAUCACAUUAGCUUAGCACCAAAAGAAGGGUCUUUGGGGAGGGGGGCCACUACUUAGAAAGUUAGUGUUGAUCUUUAAUUUGAGCUCAAAAAUUCACCAUAGAAGACUUGCUAUAAUAUGAAGUUAAUAACCAGUAUACUUACGGCUGAGCCAAAAACAUAAGAACCA